AACGAAACAAAAAUAAUGACUUUAUUCAACAAUCUCUUCUCUUCCCUGUCAUUAUCCUUACGUAGGUGAUGCAGUAAGCACAGUGAAGGCAUUCUUCUGUUUCUUCUGCAUUCAGUGUUUACGUCUGAAUAUUGGCCAAAGCUGAUCACGUGAGCAGCACGACGUAGAACCUGGAAGCGCUGACUUAAACAAUGUAUGAGAGUGACAUAGAAGAGAUGAUUUUCAUUUUUGUGUGAACUAACCCUUUAAGGUAACAUUAUGUGUUUGUAGAAAAUGACUGAAAUAUUCAGUGUGACUAGCUUAGGCCUUCCCUACACAUUAAGCACUUGUAGUUAAUUAGAAUUAUUGAGUGGCUGCUUAUGUAAAUACACUGUAACAUGAAGACUGUAAUGUAAGUUGUGACAUGAUAUCCUUCACCUAAUACUGAGCAUGUACAGGGCUUGAUUUCCUUAAAGAGACAGUUCAGUCUAAUUGAAUAUUCAUGCCAUUCCAAACAGGCAUGUUAUUUUUUUUUUUUCUGUGAGAAUAUGUUUAAACACUACUGUUCAAAAGUUUGGGGUCGGUGAGAUUUUUUUUUUUACAUGUAAUGUAUUUAUUAGUUUAUUUUAGUUGUUAUAUUUUAUCAUUUUUUAUUUCUUAAUAUGUAAAAUGUUAUUCACCUUAUUCCUACGCCCCAUUAUGACGCUUUGCGCGAAAUAUGGGUGUAACUUCCGUUAAGCUGUAAACAAUCUGUGAAAGACUCGCUCUAUGAACGCAAUAAUACGUUUUUUUAAAACUGGAUACGAGAUGACAAUAUUCUGCUCACCCUUCAACCAUUGAACAUUAAAAGGACAUUUACACGUGUAAAAGCAUCAAAAAGAAGAAAACAAGUCGUUUGGAACAACACAAUGCAGGUGUGGUGUAAAACACUGGAAAAGGAUGCAUUGACUCUUCUCAUCUGAAGUCCGUGUGUAAGAAAAUCUGCCGGAUGGGACGCAUACCGUGUCAUUGCGGCAGUGUGAUAGGACACAGGAAAAGGAAAAUCCUCCUAAUCGAGGCUGGAUGAAUUGAGGUACUGUAGGUCAAAAUCCGUUCCUGGAGAACCGUUUAUCUGUGUCUAAAUCGAGAAAGGACAAGACAUCUAUCUUGAAACGGCUCCAUUUUUGUGCCAACUGAUCCUAUACGUCAGUCCAGGAGAGAUAGCGAGGAGCCUUGUCUUUGAGUUUUGAUACGAAGACACUCUUUACAGUCACAGAUAGUGAUAAUGACUGAAACCUUUUAUUGUGCAUAAAAACCACUAAGGUAAAAGUUCAUUUUAUGUAAAUCACCAGCAUCUUAUCUUAUGCUACUUUCCAUUCAGUCAUUUGAAGUAGGAUUGUCCUACUUUAAUUUCAACCGUAGGGGUAAAUCUCAUAAACUGUCUGAGUCAUAUUUCAUGGCAAAUCAUUAUUUUUUUUUAUGACAAUUGAUCCUCCCUCCCAAUCUGUAAAUAUUCAUUGAAAAGAUGGCUUGAUAUUGAUUGAUACAAUCCCAAUUUGGUUGAUGCAUGUUUUUUUUUUAUAAUGUGCCUCCUGUAUGUCUUUGUUGCUGCGUCUGUGUUGUGUACGUCUGUGCACUUUGUUGUUUCUUCGUUGUUUCUGAAGAACUACAUUGUUUGACAGAAGAAUACAUUUGUUAUCGGGGCUGUCGCUAGCGGGGCGAAAGAUGGUGACGAUUCUAGGGGACAUCCCCACUCCCCCAGAAUGCAAAGGGGGAACCACCUUAAAUCCACUGUAAACCAUGGCUUCUUGGGGCUUAUUGCUUUAUUUUAAUGAAUUACUGAAAGAGAAGGAUCUGCACACAUUUGUUCAAAUUCUGUUGGAUUUUUCACAGAAAGUAUUCUCGUCCCUUCAUAAUAUUAAAGGUGCCAUCGAAUGGAAAAUUGAAUUUACCUCG
Megalobrama amblycephala (Wuchang bream) is the source of this 1914-nucleotide long non-coding RNA. RefSeq lists it as uncharacterized. The record is from RefSeq and is a predicted model, not a curated record. The transcript has 3 exons. Lineage: Eukaryota; Metazoa; Chordata; Actinopteri; Cypriniformes; Xenocyprididae.